AACGCGAAGAACCUUACCUGGGUUUGACAUACGGAGGAGCCGCGCGGAGACGCGCGGGCGCAGCAAUGCGCCUCUGAACAGGUGCUGCAUGGCUGUCGUCAGCUCGUGCCGUGAGGUGUUGGGUUAAGUCCCGCAACGAACGCAACCCCUGCGUCCAGUUGCCAUCACUCAGCUGGGAACUCUGGACGGACCGCCCGUUUUACGCGGGAGGAAGGUGGGGAUGACGUCAAGUCAGUAUGGCCCUUACGCCCAGGGCCGCACACGUGCUACAAUGGCCGGUACAGAGGGACGCGAUGCCGCGAGGCGGAGCUAAUCCCAGAGAGCCGGCCCCAGUUCGGAUCGCGGUCUGCAACCCGACCCCGUGAAGUCGGAUUUGCUAGUAACGGCGCAUCAACUACGGCGCCGUGAAUGCGUUCCCGGGUCUUGUACACACCGA
Molecule: ribosomal RNA, 436 nt
Filed under: uncultured rumen bacterium
Lineage: Bacteria
Description: bacterial SSU rRNA
Rfam family: Bacterial small subunit ribosomal RNA
Source: RNAcentral